RNAcentral lists this ribosomal RNA (441 nucleotides) under bacterium Ellin6011. Its description in RNAcentral is "bacterial SSU rRNA". It matches the Rfam family "Bacterial small subunit ribosomal RNA", at positions 28 to 478 of the family's 1533-position model. The record is from RNAcentral. Lineage: Bacteria; Bacillati; Actinomycetota; Actinomycetes; Micrococcales; Intrasporangiaceae.
GACGAACGCUGGCGGCGUGCUUAACACAUGCAAGUCGAACGGUGACCUCGAGAGCUUGCUCUCGGGUGAUCAGUGGCGAACGGGUGAGUAACACGUGAGUAACCUGCCCCAGACUCUGGAAUAACCCCGGGAAACCGGAGCUAAUACCGGAUACGAGACGGAGAGGCAUCUCUACCGUCUGGAAAGUUUUUCGGUCUGGGAUGGACUCGCGGCCUAUCAGCUUGUUGGUGAGGUAACGGCUCACCAAGGCGACGACGGGUAGCCGGCCUGAGAGGGCGACCGGCCACACUGGGACUGAGACACGGCCCAGACUCCUACGGGAGGCAGCAGUGGGGAAUAUUGCACAAUGGGCGAAAGCCUGAUGCAGCGACGCCGCGUGAGGGAUGACGGCCUUCGGGUUGUAAACCUCUUUCAGCAGGGAAGAAGCGAAAGUGACGGUAC